This 1450-nucleotide ribosomal RNA is filed under the name Salmonella enterica subsp. enterica serovar Infantis. RNAcentral's name for it is "bacterial SSU rRNA". It matches the Rfam family "Bacterial small subunit ribosomal RNA". The record is from RNAcentral. Lineage: Bacteria; Pseudomonadati; Pseudomonadota; Gammaproteobacteria; Enterobacterales; Enterobacteriaceae.
UGACGAGUGGCGGACGGGUGAGUAAUGUCUGGGAAACUGCCUGAUGGAGGGGGAUAACUACUGGAAACGGUGGCUAAUACCGCAUAACGUCGCAAGACCAAAGAGGGGGACCUUCGGGCCUCUUGCCAUCAGAUGUGCCCAGAUGGGAUUAGCUAGUUGGUGAGGUAACGGCUCACCAAGGCGACGAUCCCUAGCUGGUCUGAGAGGAUGACCAGCCACACUGGAACUGAGACACGGUCCAGACUCCUACGGGAGGCAGCAGUGGGGAAUAUUGCACAAUGGGCGCAAGCCUGAUGCAGCCAUGCCGCGUGUAUGAAGAAGGCCUUCGGGUUGUAAAGUACUUUCAGCGGGGAGGAAGGUGUUGUGGUUAAUAACCGCAGCAAUUGACGUUACCCGCAGAAGAAGCACCGGCUAACUCCGUGCCAGCAGCCGCGGUAAUACGGAGGGUGCAAGCGUUAAUCGGAAUUACUGGGCGUAAAGCGCACGCAGGCGGUCUGUCAAGUCGGAUGUGAAAUCCCCGGGCUCAACCUGGGAACUGCAUUCGAAACUGGCAGGCUUGAGUCUUGUAGAGGGGGGUAGAAUUCCAGGUGUAGCGGUGAAAUGCGUAGAGAUCUGGAGGAAUACCGGUGGCGAAGGCGGCCCCCUGGACAAAGACUGACGCUCAGGUGCGAAAGCGUGGGGAGCAAACAGGAUUAGAUACCCUGGUAGUCCACGCCGUAAACGAUGUCUACUUGGAGGUUGUGCCCUUGAGGCGUGGCUUCCGGAGCUAACGCGUUAAGUAGACCGCCUGGGGAGUACGGCCGCAAGGUUAAAACUCAAAUGAAUUGACGGGGGCCCGCACAAGCGGUGGAGCAUGUGGUUUAAUUCGAUGCAACGCGAAGAACCUUACCUGGUCUUGACAUCCACAGAAGAAUCCAGAGAUGGAUUGGUGCCUUCGGGAACUGUGAGACAGGUGCUGCAUGGCUGUCGUCAGCUCGUGUUGUGAAAUGUUGGGUUAAGUCCCGCAACGAGCGCAACCCUUAUCCUUUGUUGCCAGCGGUUAGGCCGGGAACUCAAAGGAGACUGCCAGUGAUAAACUGGAGGAAGGUGGGGAUGACGUCAAGUCAUCAUGGCCCUUACGACCAGGGCUACACACGUGCUACAAUGGCGCAUACAAAGAGAAGCGACCUCGCGAGAGCAAGCGGACCUCAUAAAGUGCGUCGUAGUCCGGAUUGGAGUCUGCAACUCGACUCCAUGAAGUCGGAAUCGCUAGUAAUCGUGGAUCAGAAUGCCACGGUGAAUACGUUCCCGGGCCUUGUACACACCGCCCGUCACACCAUGGGAGUGGGUUGCAAAAGAAGUAGGUAGCUUAACCUUCGGGAGGGCGCUUACCACUUUGUGAUUCAUGACUGGGGUGAAGUCGUAACAAGGUAACCGUAGGGGAACCUGCGGUUGGAUCACCUCCUUACCU